AGUUUGAUCCUGGCUCAGGAUGAACGCUGGCGGCGUGCUUAACACAUGCAAGUCGAACGGGAAAUAUUUCAUUGAGACUUCGGUGGAUUUGAUCUAUUUCUAGUGGCGGACGGGUGAGUAACGCGUGGGUAACCUGCCUUAUACAGGGGGAUAACAGUCAGAAAUGGCUGCUAAUACCGCAUAAGCGCACAGAGCUGCAUGGCUCAGUGUGAAAAACUCCGGUGGUAUAAGAUGGACCCGCGUUGGAUUAGCUGGUUGGUGGGGUAACGGCCCACCAAGGCGACGAUCCAUAGCCGGCCUGAGAGGGUGAACGGCCACAUUGGGACUGAGACACGGCCCAGACUCCUACGGGAAGCAGCAGUGGGGAAUAUUGCACAAUGGGGGAAACCCUGAUGCAGCGACGCCGCGUGAAGGAAGAAGUAUCUCGGUAUGUAAACUUCUAUCAGCAGGGAAGAUAGUGACGGUACCUGACUAAGAAGCCCCGGCUAACUACGUGCCAGCAGCCGCGGUAAUACGUAGGGGGCAAGCGUUAUCCGGAUUUACUGGGUGUAAAGGGAGCGUAGACGGUAUGGCAAGUCUGAUGUGAAAGGCAUGGGCUCAACCUGUGGACUGCAUUGGAAACUGUCAUACUUGAGUGCCGGAGGGGUAAGCGGAAUUCCUAGUGUAGCGGUGAAAUGCGUAGAUAUUAGGAGGAACACCAGUGGCGAAGGCGGCUUACUGGACGGUAACUGACGUUGAGGCUCGAAAGCGUGGGGAGCAAACUAGGAUUAGAUACCCUGGUAGUCCACGCCGUAAACGAUGAAACCUAGGGGUCCGGGGAACAUGGCUCCUCCGUGCCGUCGCAAACCCAGUA
This 853-nucleotide ribosomal RNA is filed under the name uncultured bacterium. RNAcentral describes it as "bacterial SSU rRNA". It matches the Rfam family "Bacterial small subunit ribosomal RNA", at positions 10 to 862 of the family's 1533-position model. The record is from RNAcentral.